AAGUAUUCUUCGGUGCAGCCAGCGCUUCCACAGCGCGGCAGCCCAAACCUUACACACUGUGAUUAGUUUUUUUACUAUUACUUGGCCUGCGCAAGUGGCCAAAGGUCUUAAACACAAAGAUUUAUAUCUUGUAUUUUACAAAAUUUAGUCAAUGAAGUUUUAAUACUAUAAUCUUCA
Molecule: unclassified non-coding RNA, 177 nt
Filed under: soil metagenome
Description: partial internal transcribed spacer 1
Source: RNAcentral